AACGAACGCUGGCGGCAUGCCUAACACAUGCAAGUCGAACGAGACCUUCGGGUCUAGUGGCGAACGGGUGCGUAACGCGUGGGAACCUGCCCUUAGGUUCGGAAUAACUCCCCGAAAGGGGUGCUAAUACCGGAUAAUGUCUUCGGACCAAAGAUUUAUCGCCUUUGGAUGGGGCCGCGUUGGUUUAGCUAGUGGGUAGGGUAAAAGCCUACCAAGGCGGCGAUCCAUAGCUGGUCUGAGAGGAUGAGCAGCCAGACUGGGACUGAGACACGGCCCAGACGCGUGGGAGAGGCAGCGAUGGGGGAUAUAGGGGAGUGAGCGAGAUGCUGAGCCAGCGAUGGCGCGUGGAUGGUGAAGGCGUUGGGGUUGUAAUGCGCUUGGAACCAGGAUGUUAGUGACGGUACCGGGAGAAUAAGCACCGGCUAACUCCGUG
Molecule: ribosomal RNA, 433 nt
Filed under: uncultured bacterium
Lineage: Bacteria
Description: partial 16S ribosomal RNA
Rfam family: Bacterial small subunit ribosomal RNA
Source: RNAcentral